RNAcentral lists this ribosomal RNA (419 nucleotides) under Antongilia madagassa. RNAcentral's name for it is "partial large subunit ribosomal RNA". Lineage: Eukaryota; Metazoa; Arthropoda; Insecta; Phasmatodea; Bacillidae. The record is from RNAcentral.
UCAAUUCCGUCCGAUGCCGUGGCACCUUCCACUGAAACAGCAAGCUACUAUUGUUUCUGUAAAGUGGCUAGGAUCGUCGUCGGUGUUGGUGGAAUGCACUUCCCCCUAGUAGAAAAAAAAACCGCGUCCCGUUGGGUGCCAGUCUCAAGGCCCGAUCGUUUAGUACGACCUUCCCACUGAUCAAAAAGUGGUCGAGGUCGGAAAUGCGGUGACCUGGCUGGCUGCCCGACGGAAGGACAGAUGAGAAUCCGCUUGAUGCAUAUGCUGUGGAGCGUCUGGGCAGGCAUCGAUGGUGUGCAAGGUCGUGGCCUAUUUAACUGCGAAUUAGCCAUUGAAUUCCUUCCGCCGUCAUGUCUCGCCCUGAGACCGGAAUUUCCAGUCUGCGGUAUCUGUCGGGUGUUCUCCCGACCCGUCUUGAA